GGGGAAUAUUGCGCAAUGGGGGCAACCCUGACGCAGCCAUGCCGCGUGAAUGAAGAAGGCCUUCGGGUUGUAAAGUUCUUUCGGUAGCGAGGAAGGCAUUUAGUUUAAUAGACUAGGUGAUUGACGUUAACUACAGAAGAAGCACCGGCUAAUUCCGUGCCAGCAGCCGCGGUAAUACGGAGGGUGCGAGCGUUAAUCGGAAUAACUGGGCGUAAAGGGCACGCAGGCGGUGACUUAAGUGAGGUGUGAAAGCCCCGGGCUUAACCUGGGAAUUGCAUUUCAUACUGGGUCGCUAGAGUACUUUAGGGAGGGGUAGAAUUCCACGUGUAGCGGUGAAAUGCGUAGAGAUGUGGAGGAAUACCGAAGGCGAAGGCAGCCCCUUGGGAAUGUACUGACGCUCAUGUGCGAAAGCGUGGGGAGCAAACAGGAUUAGAUACCCUGGUAGUCCACGCUGUAAACGAUGUCGAUUUGGGGGUUGAACUUUGAGUUUGGCGCCCGUAGCUAACGUGAUAAAUCGACCGCCUGGGGGGUACGGCCGCAAGGUUA
This 546-nucleotide ribosomal RNA is filed under the name uncultured bacterium. RNAcentral describes it as "bacterial SSU rRNA". It matches the Rfam family "Bacterial small subunit ribosomal RNA", at positions 356 to 896 of the family's 1533-position model. The record is from RNAcentral.